RNAcentral lists this transfer RNA (75 nucleotides) under Candidatus Kerfeldbacteria bacterium CG08_land_8_20_14_0_20_40_16. RNAcentral's name for it is "tRNA-Thr". It matches the Rfam family "tRNA". Rfam says of the family: Transfer RNA (tRNA) molecules are approximately 80 nucleotides in length. The record is from RNAcentral. Lineage: Bacteria; Candidatus Kerfeldiibacteriota.
GCCGAUAUAGCUCAACGGUAGAGCAAUCCCUUCGUAAGGGAAAGGUUGCCCGUUCAAAUCGGGCUAUCGGCUCCA